Molecule: long non-coding RNA, 1258 nt
Organism: Zingiber officinale
Lineage: Eukaryota; Viridiplantae; Streptophyta; Magnoliopsida; Zingiberales; Zingiberaceae
Exons: 2
Source: RefSeq, a predicted model, not a curated record
GAGGCAAUCAAUGCCCGUGUCAAACCCGAGACGGCAAGAGAGAUUGAUAGAGAUUUCAGGGUGUGAAUAGACUUAAGCGAGAACAGAUGCGUGAAGGAUUGAGAUCCACUAGGAGUGUGGUGUGAGGAGAUCUAGCUAGGGUUGCUUGGCAGGAGGUGGCAGCGGCAGCGGCGGUGAUGAAGGUGCUGGUGGGAAGCCCUGGAACAUGGAAUGGACUGCUACUGUGCGUCUUUGCAGGGACCUCCAUUGAGGUUAUGGAAUUUGCAUUGGAGUUCUCCAACUACACUGCCUUAUAGUUUGAAAUUUGACUGCUAUACAUUUGGUAUCACAGUUGAUAGAUUUGCCCAUUCUACAUUUUUUAGAUUUAAAAAACGUGUUAUAUAUUUUAAGAAAGCUGGAUAAAUGUGACGCCAUUAGGAGGAAGGAUGUGAGUAUUCGUCUCCGUCCUAGGAGUUUUGAAUGCUUUAACCACUGAUGCACUCAAAGAACCCAUGUUUCUUUCCUCUUUGUCUUAACAUCCUGAAGAAAAUCUGAGAGAAGAUCAAGUCUUUUUUAUGAUCAUUAAGCAAUCAGCCUUUAAUGAGCUCCGUGGCCUCUGUUAAUUUCCAUGUUAAUUGCUAAGGCGCAUGCUCUCCUUCCUGAAAAAUCUACACUGAAGUAUUUGGCUUUCCCUUAAUGAUAUCAACGCCAAUUUUGUUUCUCUCUUUUUUGUAUUAACACAAUCGUUCUGUAAUAUAUUAUUUAUGACGUGCAAGAGUUUGAGAUCUUAAUCAAGCACUAUUAUUUUUUUUAAUAAAAUUUGUUGGGAUAUAAUUGCUUCCUAGAUCAUAAUUCGAAGUGCUCUAUUGCAAUUCCUCUUCGACGCGGCAUGUGUACAUCUUGGUUGCUAUGUUUUAAAGAGAAUCUAGAUAAGAUUAAAGAUCUCAUUUCUCACAUUAUAUUGUCUUUGCUAUUCUUGACACCCUGUUUUUUCAGAUCAAACUGUGAGGAUAUACUGAUGUAGAUGUGGCUUAACUUCCCUAAUUGAGCAGGAGUUGGUGAAUGAACCAUUUUAUAUUUGGAAAUGAAUUCAAAAUACUUCCUGGACUUUAAUCAAUGUUAAGGUAACUCCAACAACAAUAAUAACCUAAUAAAACUAAGCUCCACUCUACAGUUGAAUUUAAUCUGAUCUACAUUAUGAUGUUUGUUUUUUCACUCUGAUUCCGCAUUGCUCAUUUGGAUGUUUUUUUUUUUAAAACAAAAAAAUUCAGCUAUUUAA